This 2423-nucleotide ribosomal RNA is filed under the name human gut metagenome. RNAcentral's name for it is "bacterial LSU rRNA". It matches the Rfam family "Bacterial large subunit ribosomal RNA", at positions 1 to 2451 of the family's 2925-position model. The record is from RNAcentral.
UUAAGCGACUAAGCGUACACGGUGGAUGCCCUGGCAGUCAGAGGCGAUGAAGGACGUGCUAAUCUGCGAUAAGCGUCGGUGAGGUGAUAUGAACCGUUAUAACCGGCGAUUUCCGAAUGGGGAAACCCAGUGUGUUUCGACACACUAUCAUUAACUGAAUCCAUAGGUUAAUGAGGCGAACCGGGGGAACUGAAACAUCUAAGUACCCCGAGGAAAAGAAAUCAACCGAGAUUCCCCCAGUAGCGGCGAGCGAACGGGGAGGAGCCCAGAGCCUGAAUCAGUGUGUGUGUUAGUGGAAGCGUCUGGAAAGGCGCGCGAUACAGGGUGACAGCCCCGUACACAAAAAUGCACAUGCUGUGAGCUCGAUGAGUAGGGCGGGACACGUGGUAUCCUGUCUGAAUAUGGGGGGACCAUCCUCCAAGGCUAAAUACUCCUGACUGACCGAUAGUGAACCAGUACCGUGAGGGAAAGGCGAAAAGAACCCCGGCGAGGGGAGUGAAAAAGAACCUGAAACCGUGUACGUACAAGCAGUGGGAGCCUCUUAAUGGGGUGACUGCGUACCUUUUGUAUAAUGGGUCAGCGACUUAUAUUCUGUAGCAAGGUUAACCGAAUAGGGGAGCCGAAGGGAAACCGAGUCUUAACUGGGCGUUAAGUUGCAGGGUAUAGACCCGAAACCCGGUGAUCUAGCCAUGGGCAGGUUGAAGGUUGGGUAACACUAACUGGAGGACCGAACCGACUAAUGUUGAAAAAUUAGCGGAUGACUUGUGGCUGGGGGUGAAAGGCCAAUCAAACCGGGAGAUAGCUGGUUCUCCCCGAAAGCUAUUUAGGUAGCGCCUCGUGAAUUCAUCUCCGGGGGUAGAGCACUGUUUCGGCAAGGGGGUCAUCCCGACUUACCAACCCGAUGCAAACUGCGAAUACCGGAGAAUGUUAUCACGGGAGACACACGGCGGGUGCUAACGUCCGUCGUGAAGAGGGAAACAACCCAGACCGCCAGCUAAGGUCCCAAAGUCAUGGUUAAGUGGGAAACGAUGUGGGAAGGCCCAGACAGCCAGGAUGUUGGCUUAGAAGCAGCCAUCAUUUAAAGAAAGCGUAAUAGCUCACUGGUCGAGUCGGCCUGCGCGGAAGAUGUAACGGGGCUAAACCAUGCACCGAAGCUGCGGCAGCGACACUAUGUGUUGUUGGGUAGGGGAGCGUUCUGUAAGCCUGUGAAGGUGGCCUGUGAGGGUUGCUGGAGGUAUCAGAAGUGCGAAUGCUGACAUAAGUAACGAUAAAGCGGGUGAAAAGCCCGCUCGCCGGAAGACCAAGGGUUCCUGUCCAACGUUAAUCGGGGCAGGGUGAGUCGACCCCUAAGGCGAGGCCGAAAGGCGUAGUCGAUGGGAAACAGGUUAAUAUUCCUGUACUUGGUGUUACUGCGAAGGGGGGACGGAGAAGGCUAUGUUGGCCGGGCGACGGUUGUCCCGGUUUAAGCGUGUAGGCUGGUUUUCCAGGCAAAUCCGGAAAACCAAGGCUGAGGCGUGAUGACGAGGCACUACGGUGCUGAAGUGACAAAUGCCCUGCUUCCAGGAAAAGCCUCUAAGCAUCAGGUAACAUCAAAUCGUACCCCAAACCGACACAGGUGGUCAGGUAGAGAAUACCAAGGCGCUUGAGAGAACUCGGGUGAAGGAACUAGGCAAAAUGGUGCCGUAACUUCGGGAGAAGGCACGCUGAUAUGUAGGUGAAGCGACUUGCUCGUGGAGCUGAAAUCAGUCGAAGAUACCAGCUGGCUGCAACUGUUUAUUAAAAACACAGCACUGUGCAAACACGAAAGUGGACGUAUACGGUGUGACGCCUGCCCGGUGCCGGAAGGUUAAUUGAUGGGGUUAGCGGUAACGCGAAGCUCUUGAUCGAAGCCCCGGUAAACGGCGGCCGUAACUAUAACGGUCCUAAGGUAGCGAAAUUCCUUGUCGGGUAAGUUCCGACCUGCACGAAUGGCGUAAUGAUGGCCAGGCUGUCUCCACCCGAGACUCAGUGAAAUUGAACUCGCUGUGAAGAUGCAGUGUACCCGCGGCAAGACGGAAAGACCCCGUGAACCUUUACUAUAGCUUGACACUGAACAUUGAGCCUUGAUGUGUAGGAUAGGUGGGAGGCUUUGAAGUGUGGACGCCAGUCUGCAUGGAGCCGACCUUGAAAUACCACCCUUUAAUGUUUGAUGUUCUAACGUUGGCCCCUAAUCGGGGUUGCGGACAGUGUCUGGUGGGUAGUUUGACUGGGGCGGUCUCCUCCUAAAGAGUAACGGAGGAGCACGAAGGUUGGCUAAUCCUGGUCGGACAUCAGGAGGUUAGUGCAAUGGCAUAAGCCAGCUUGACUGCGAGCGUGACGGCGCGAGCAGGUGCGAAAGCAGGUCAUAGUGAUCCGGUGGUUCUGAAUGGAAGGGCCAUCGCUCA